AGAGUUUGAUCAUGGCUCAGGACGAACGCUGGCGGCGUGCUUAACACAUGCAAGUCGAACGCGCUUUACUCCUUCGGGAGUAAAGCGAGUGGCGAACGAGUGAGUAACACGUGAGCAACCUGCCCUUGACUCUGGAAUAACAGCUGGAAACAGCUGCUAAUACCGGAUACGACCUUCGAUGGCAUCAUCUGGAGGUGGAAAGCUCCGACGGUCAAGGAUGGGCUCGCGGCCUAUCAGCUUGUUGGUGAGGUAACGGCUCACCAAGGCUUCGACGGGUAGCCGGCCUGAGAGGGCGGACGGCCACACUGGGACUGAGACACGGCCCAGACUCCUACGGGAGGCAGCAGUGGGGAAUUGUUCGCAAUGGGCGCAAGCCUGACGACGCAACGCCGCGUGGAGGAUGAAGGUCUUCGGAUUGUAAACUCCUGUUGACCGGGAAGAACAGGUUUCGGCCGAAUAGGCCGGAGCUCUGACGGUACCGGUUGAGGAAGCCACGGCUAACUCUGUGCCAGCAGCCGCGGUAAUAC
This 527-nucleotide ribosomal RNA is filed under the name uncultured bacterium. RNAcentral describes it as "bacterial SSU rRNA". It matches the Rfam family "Bacterial small subunit ribosomal RNA", at positions 8 to 526 of the family's 1533-position model. The record is from RNAcentral.